UAGUCGAAUACUGUGGGUGGCGAGUGGCGGACGGGUGAGGAAUGCGUCGGAGUCUGCCUAUGUGUGGGGGAUAACGUAGGGAAACUUACGCUAAUACCGCAUACGACCUACGGGUGAAAGUGGGGGACCGCAAGGCCUCACGCAGAUAGAUGAGCCGACGUCGGAUUAGCUAGUUGGUGGGGUAAAGGCCCACCAAGGCGACGAUCCGUAGCUGGUCUGAGAGGAUGAUCAGCCACACUGGUAACUGAGACACGGUCCAGACUCCUACGGGAGGCAGCAGUGGGGAAUAUUGGACAAUGGGCGCAAGCCUGAUCCAGCCAUGCCGCGUGUGUGAAGAAGGCCUUCGGGUUGUAAAGCACUUUUGUCCGGAAAGAAAAGCAUCGGGUUAAUAACCUGGUGUCAUGACGGUACCGGAAGAAUAAGCACCGGCUAACUUCGUGCCAGCAGCCGCGGUAAUACGAAGGGUGCAAGCGUUACUCGGAAUUACUGGGCGUAAAGCGUGCGUAGGUGGUUUGUUAAGUCUGAUGUGAAAGCGCUGGGCUCAACCUGGGAACUGCAUUGGAUACUGGCUUACUAGAGUGCGGUAGAGGGUAGUGGAAUUCCCGGUGUAGCAGUGAAAUGCGUAGAUAUCGGGAGGAACAUCUGUGGCGAAGGCGACUACCUGGACCAGCACUGACACUGAGGCACGACAGCGUGAGGAGCAAACAGGAUUAGAUACGCUGGUAGUCCACGCCCUAAACGAUGCGAACUGGAUGUUGGGUGCAACUAGGCACUCAGUAUCGAA
This 784-nucleotide ribosomal RNA is filed under the name Lysobacter niastensis. RNAcentral's name for it is "bacterial SSU rRNA". It matches the Rfam family "Bacterial small subunit ribosomal RNA", at positions 76 to 850 of the family's 1533-position model. The record is from RNAcentral. Lineage: Bacteria; Pseudomonadati; Pseudomonadota; Gammaproteobacteria; Lysobacterales; Lysobacteraceae.